Molecule: ribosomal RNA, 471 nt
Filed under: uncultured bacterium
Lineage: Bacteria
Description: bacterial SSU rRNA
Rfam family: Bacterial small subunit ribosomal RNA
Source: RNAcentral
CAGGAUGAACGCUGGCGGCGUGCCUAACACAUGCAAGUCGAGCGAUUUACUUCGGUAAAGAGCGGCGGACGGGUGAGUAACGCGUGGGUAACCUGCCUCAUACACAUGGAUAACAUACCGAAAGGUAUGCUAAUACAGGAUAAUAUUAAGAGAUUCACAUAGGAUUUCUUAUCAAAGCUCCGGCGGUAUGAGAUGGACCCGCGUCUGAUUAGCUAGUUGGUAAGGUAAUGGCUUACCAAGGCGACGAUCCAGUAGCCGACCUGAGAGGGUGAUCGGCCACAUUGGAACUGAGACACGGUCCAAACUCCUACGGGAGGCAGCAGUGGGGAAUAUUGCACAAUGGGCGAAAGCCUGAUGGCAGCAACGCCGCGUGAGUGAUGUAAGGCCUUCGGGUCGUAAAACUCUGUCCUCAAGGAAGAUAAUGACGGUACUUGAGGAGGAAGCCCCGGCUAACUACGUGCCAGCCGCCGC